RNAcentral lists this long non-coding RNA (247 nucleotides) under Manihot esculenta (cassava). RNAcentral's name for it is "long non-coding RNA (MESC_LNC004613)". Lineage: Eukaryota; Viridiplantae; Streptophyta; Magnoliopsida; Malpighiales; Euphorbiaceae. The record is from RNAcentral.
UGGCCAGCCACUAUAAAAGGGUCCCUUAGCAGAAAAUGGGCGAGCUUUCUCCCCAUUUCCGGCCAAGGUGAGCUCUCUGCCGCCCCUCACCGAUCUUGAGUUCUUUCCUUCCCAUAUUACUCGAUUUUCAUGAGUUUUUAACUUGUUUUGAAGAUUUUCAAGCUUUGAGCAAAGUUUUGGAGCUUUGAGGUUCAAGAACUCAAAACCUCCCACCUCCGAGUUUAGGACGUCUCUCCCUCGAUCUUCA